GAUGAACGCUGGCGGCGUGCCUAAUACAUGCAAGUCGAGCGAACAGACGAGGAGCUUGCUCCUCUGACGUUAGCGGCGGACGGGUGAGUAACACGUGGAUAACCUACCUAUAAGACUGGGAUAACUUCGGGAAACCGGAGCUAAUACCGGAUAAUAUAUUGAACCGCAUGGUUCAAUAGUGAAAGACGGUUUUGCUGUCACUUAUAGAUGUAUCCGCGCCGCAUUAGCUAGUUGGUAAGGUAACGGCUUACCAAGGCAACGAUGCGUAGCCGACCUGAGAGGGUGAUCAGCCACACUGGAACUGAGACACGGUCCAGACUCCUACGGGAGGCAGCAGUAGGGAAUCUUCCGCAAUGGGCGAAAGCCUGACGGAGCAACGCCGCGUGAGUGAUGAAGGUCUUCGGAUCGUAAAACUCUGUUAUUAGGGAAGAACAAAUGUGUAAGUAACUAUGCACGUCUUGACGGUACCUAAUCAGAAAGCCACGGCUAACUACGUG
This 497-nucleotide ribosomal RNA is filed under the name uncultured bacterium. Its description in RNAcentral is "partial 16S ribosomal RNA". It matches the Rfam family "Bacterial small subunit ribosomal RNA", at positions 28 to 507 of the family's 1533-position model. The record is from RNAcentral.